RNAcentral lists this ribosomal RNA (382 nucleotides) under uncultured bacterium. RNAcentral describes it as "bacterial SSU rRNA". It matches the Rfam family "Bacterial small subunit ribosomal RNA", at positions 28 to 408 of the family's 1533-position model. The record is from RNAcentral.
GACGAACGCUGGCGGCGUGCUUAACACAUGCAAGUCGAGCGGUAAGGCCCUUUCGGGGGUACACGAGCGGCGAACGGGUGAGUAACACGUGGGUGACCUGCCCUUAGCUCUGGGAUAAGCCUGGGAAACUGGGUCUAAUACCGGAUAUGACUCCAUAACGCAUGUUGUGGGGUGGAAAGCCUUGUGCGGCUAGGGAUGGGCCCGCGGCCUAUCAGCUUGUUGGUGGGGUGAUGGCCACCAAGGCGACGACGGGUAGCCGGCCUGAGAGGGCGACCGGCCACACUGGGACUGAGACACGGCCCAGACUCCGUACGGGAGGCAGCAGGUGGGGAAUCUUGCGCAAGUGGGACGAAAGCCUGACGCAGCGACGCCGCGGUGGGGA